Molecule: long non-coding RNA, 219 nt
Filed under: Ictidomys tridecemlineatus (thirteen-lined ground squirrel)
Lineage: Eukaryota; Metazoa; Chordata; Mammalia; Rodentia; Sciuridae
Description: lncRNA (ENSSTOG00000029786.1)
Source: RNAcentral
AAUUUUAAUAUUUUCUCAACAUCUGUCAUUUCUUUGUAUUUGGGGCCCAAAAUUGGUUGCUGAAAGUAAAGCUGCCUUAGCAUAAAAACAUCACAAUCUCAAGCAUCUCAGCCUGCCUAGAAAAGAAGAGAAAGAGACUAAGACUUUAUUCAUCUGUUUGUCUUUUCUGUUGGUGUAAAAAUCGACAUUCUAAGAAACAUAGCUUUCUUCAAAUAUUUG